Molecule: ribosomal RNA, 508 nt
Filed under: uncultured bacterium
Lineage: Bacteria
Description: partial 16S ribosomal RNA
Rfam family: Bacterial small subunit ribosomal RNA
Source: RNAcentral
AUUGAACGCUGGCGGCAUGCCUUACACAUGCAAGUCGAACGGCAGCGGGGGAGAAGCUUGCUUUUCCUGCCGGCGAGUGGCGAACGGGUGAGUAAUACAUCGGAACGUGCCCUGUAGUGGGGGAUAACUAGUCGAAAGAUUAGCUAAUACCGCAUACGACCUGAGGGUGAAAGUGGGGGACCGCAAGGCCUCAUGCUAUAGGAGCGGCCGAUGUCUGAUUAGCUAGUUGGUGGGGUAAAGGCCUACCAAGGCGACGAUCAGUAGCUGGUCUGAGCGGCCGGUCCGGCGCACGGGGUCUGAGACACGGCCCAGACUCCUACGGGAGGCAGCAGUGGGGAAUUUUGGACAAUCGGCGAGAGCCUGAUCCAGCAAUGCCGCGUGUGUGAAGAAGGCCUUCGGGUUUUGAAGCACUUUUGUCCGGAAAGAAAUGGCUCUGGUUAAUACCUGGGGUCGAUGACGGUACCGGAAGAAUAAGGACCGGCUAACUACGUGCCAGCAGCCGCAGUAA